GAGAAGAACGUAGCGAAAUGCGAUACUUGGUGUGAAUUGCAGAAUCCCGUGAACCAUCGAGUCUUUGAACGCAAGUUGCGCCCGAAGCCAUCAGGUUGAGGGCACGUCUGCCUGGGCGUCACAUAUCGUUGCCCAAUGCCUAUUGCAGUGCAAUAGGAAUUUCUAGGGCGAAUGAUGGCUUCCCGUGAGCGUUGUUGCCUCGCGGUUGGUUGAAAAUCGAGUCCUUGGUAGGGUGUGCCAUGGUAGAUGGUGGUCGAGUUAGAACGAUACCGAUCAUGUGCAUGCUCCCCAAAAUAUGGCCUCUAUGACCCACACGCGUCUUUUGACGCUCAUGACGAGACCUCAGGUCAGGCGGGGCUACCCGCUGAAUUUAAGCAUAUCAAUAAGCGGAGGA
This 394-nucleotide unclassified non-coding RNA is filed under the name soil metagenome. RNAcentral's name for it is "partial contains 5.8S ribosomal RNA, internal transcribed spacer 2, and large subunit ribosomal RNA". The stretch from base 3 to 121 matches the Rfam family "5.8S ribosomal RNA", at positions 38 to 154 of the family's 154-position model. The record is from RNAcentral.